RNAcentral lists this ribosomal RNA (305 nucleotides) under uncultured bacterium. RNAcentral's name for it is "bacterial SSU rRNA". It matches the Rfam family "Bacterial small subunit ribosomal RNA", at positions 333 to 655 of the family's 1533-position model. The record is from RNAcentral.
AUUGUCCUACGGGGGGCAGCAGUGGGGAAUAUUGCACAAUGGGGGAAACCCUGAUGCAGCGACGCCGCGUGAGCGAUGAAGUAUUUCGGUAUGUAAAGCUCUAUCAGCAGGGAAGAAAAUGACGGUACCUGACUAAGAAGCCCCGGCUAACUAGGUGCCAGCAGCCGCGGUAAUACGUAGGGGGCAAGCGUUAUCCGGAUUUACUGGGUGUAAAGGGAGCGUAGACGGUUCUGCAAGCCAGAUGUGAAAGCCCAGGGCUCAACCCCGGGACUGCAUUUUGAACUGUAAGGCUAGAGUGUCGGAGG